This 253-nucleotide ribosomal RNA is filed under the name uncultured bacterium. RNAcentral describes it as "partial 16S ribosomal RNA". It matches the Rfam family "Bacterial small subunit ribosomal RNA", at positions 524 to 776 of the family's 1533-position model. The record is from RNAcentral.
UACGAGGGGUGCGAGCGUUAUUCGGAUUUAUUGGGCGUAAAGGGUGCGUAGGCGGCAAACUAAGUCAACUGUUUAAUUUUCCGGCUCAACCGGAAGCUCGCAGUAGAUACUGGUUUGAUAGAGGAUGGGAGAGAGAAGUGGAAUUCUCGGAGUAGCGGUAAAAUGCGUAGAUCUCGAGAGGAACACCGAUGGCGAAGGCAGCUUCUUGGCCCACUCCUGACGCUGAGGCACGAAAGCGUGGGUAGCAAACAGG